Oncorhynchus tshawytscha (Chinook salmon) is the source of this 463-nucleotide long non-coding RNA. RefSeq lists it as uncharacterized. NCBI's taxonomy places the organism in Eukaryota, Metazoa, Chordata, Actinopteri, Salmoniformes, Salmonidae. The record is from RefSeq and is a predicted model, not a curated record. The transcript is spliced from 3 exons.
GUGGUAUCUUGCUGAUUUGUUCUACAGCCGUUAGGAUGCCAGGUGUGGUAUCUUGCUGAUUUGUUCUACAGCCGUUAGGAUGCCAGGUGUGGUAUCUUGCUGAUUUGUUCUACAGCCGUUAGGAUGACAGGUGUGGUAUCUUGCUGAUUUGUUCUACAGCCGUUAGGGUGACAGGUGUGGUAUCUUGCUGAUUUGUUCUACAGCCGUUAGGGUGCCAGGUGUGGUAUCUUGCUGAUUUGUUCUACAGCCGUUAGGAUGCCAGGUGUGGUAUCUUGCUGAUUUGUUCUACAGCCGUUAGGAUGCCAGGUGUGGUAUCUUGCUGAUUUGUUCUACAGCCGUUAGGAUGCCAGGUGUGGUAUCUUGCUGAUUUGUUCUACAGCCGUUAGGAUGACAGGUGUGGUAUCUUGCUGAUUUGUUCUACAGCCGUUAGGGUGACAGGUGUGGUAUCUUGCUGAUUUGUUCU